Lycium ferocissimum is the source of this 3374-nucleotide long non-coding RNA. RefSeq lists it as uncharacterized. NCBI's taxonomy places the organism in Eukaryota, Viridiplantae, Streptophyta, Magnoliopsida, Solanales, Solanaceae. The transcript has 3 exons. The record is from RefSeq and is a predicted model, not a curated record.
UCUUGCACUAUGUUUGCUACUUCGAGACCAAAUAUCUUUUUUGUAGUUCUUGUGUGAAAUAAAAAAUGUGAAUAAAUGUCUACAAUGUGUUUGAUAAAAUAUCUCAAUUGGGUUGUUUGAGAAUUUUAAGUAAAAGUGGAUAUUUAAAAUAGUGAGAAGUUAAGAUACUUAAAGCACAAAUAGCAAAUCGAAUAAAGGUUACAACUUGUUUCACAUAUAGUUUAUUUUCUUGUUAACCUUAUGAAAAUAAUGAAGUUCACUAAUUUUUAGGAUGUGAUACUAACGGAGCCUUUGGUUAGGACUAUGUUGAUUAGUGAACUUCAUUGUUGGAGCGGAAGUCUUUCAAUGACUUUUCUUUAUUCAUUUGAUACUUCAAUAGCUAAGGGAACUAUGAUAUAUAACAUUCUUGUGUUAGAAAGUCAAUAGUUUAGAACUUCAUUUAGUAUCUUAUUUAUACUUUUUGUAAUGUAGAUUUAUGAAUAUCGCACCAACUGAGUCUCAAGAUGGAUGUAAUGUGCCAAUAAAAUUUGGGAUGAAAUUUGAUUUCGAUGAGCACGCUUAUGACUGCUAUAAUGAAUAAGCAGGUUCAGUUAGCUUUAGUAUUAGAAAAGAAUAUGCUAAUAAAAAUAGAGUUCAUGGGUAUGUGACUUCAUCAAAAUUUAUAUGUUAUAAAGAAGGUUAUAGAAGCACGGACAAAUGAGAUUCGACGGUUCAAAAGCAUAGAAAGGAAACUAGGACAGGGUGCUUAGCUCAUAUUACUAUUAAUCAUCAAUCGAAUGGAAUGUUUCGCAUCACUUCGUUUGAAGAGAAGCACAACCAUCCUUUUGUUGAUUCUUCUUUAGCUCAUCUGUUACCAUCUCAAAGAAAGAUAAAAAUUGCUCAAGCAUAUGAACUUGACUUAUUAGAUGAUUCAGGAAUAAGUCCUAAAGCUUCAUUUGACUAUGCUGCUCGUCAAGCUGGAGGACAAUCUUUUCUAGGUUACACAGAGAGAGAUCACAAAAAUUAUCUCAGGGAUAAAAGACAAGAAGAUUUGAAACAUAGAGUGGCUCGUAGCUUGGUGAGUUAUUUUGAGAAAAGAACACUUGAAGAUCCGACUUUUCGAUUUUCUUUAGACUUAGAUGAUGAUAGUUUGAUAAUAAUGUAUUCUGGGCUGAUGCAAAGAUGAUAAGAUAUAUGGAGAUGUUGUGUCCUUUGACACAACAUAUAGGACAAAUAAAGAGUAUCGACCCUUGGCAUUGUUUGUUGGUUUGAAUAAUCAUCGGGAAAUGGUUAUAUUUGAUGCAACUCUCCUAUAUGAAGAAUCAACUGAAGCGUUUGAAUGGCUUUUUAAUGCAUUCAUUAGUAUUAUGUCUGCAGAUAAACCAAAAACAUUCAUGACAGAUCAAGAUCCCGCAAUAGCUUCUGCUGUCUCAUCAGUAAUGCCAGAUAUAUAUCAUCGCCUAUGUGUAUAGCACUUGGAAAAAAAUUGCUUUUAAACAUCUUAAUCAUAUCUUUAGAGCUAAUUCAUCAUUUCCGAGGGAUUUUAGUAAACUACUUUACGAUUAUGAGUAUCAGGAUGAUUUUUUAAGUGCAUGGCAGGAUAUGCUUGAGAAAUAUGAUCUUGAAGAUAAUAGUUGGUUGAAAACUACGUUUGCUAUAAGGGAGAAAUGGUCGAUGACAUAUGGAAGAAAUACAUUUUCAGCAGGUAUGCAAAGCAUACAAUUAAGUGAGAGUUUUAAUGGAUCUUUAAGGGGAUAUUUGAAAUCUGAUUUGGAUAUUGUUCAAUUUUUUAAGCAUUUUCAAAGAUCAGUUGAUGAUAAGUGCACCAAUGAGAAUAAAUCAAAUUUUGAUAUGACUCAAAGAGUACCUAUUUUAAAGGUUAAACUUCCUUUAUUGAUUCAUGCUAGGGAUGUAUACACCCCAACUAUAUUUGACAUGUUCCAAAAUGAAUGGGAAAGCUCACUAUUUGUUUCCGUAAAGGAUUUUCAUAAUGAAGGAGAAUUGAGUACAUACAAUGUUAGCACUUCUGGAAGUGUUAAGGAGCAUGCAAUAAUUAUCAAGCGAUCGGUAACUCAAGUUUCUCGCAGCUGUAAAUUUUUUGAGUUUAUGGGUAUACUAUGCAGACAUGCUUUAAAGAUCCUUGAUAUACUGAAUGUAAAGGAUAUGAUUCCUGCGCAUUACAUACUAAAGAGGUGGACAAUAGAUGUUAUAAGCAUGCAUGAUAUGGAUGUCAAUCUAGUAGCAAAAGACUCUGAUCCGAAAGUUGAAGUUAUUGCGAGGUAUAGACAUUUAUGCCAAACUUUUGUUCAAAUUUUGAGUGAAGCUUUUGAAUCCAGAAAAGGGUAUGAAUUGGCUGCAAAGUGUGCGAACGAGGUAAUUGCAAAGUUAAAUGAUGUAAAUAAGAGAAGUCAAUCACAUGAAGAGCCGACUCCAAGCAAUAAUAUCCAAAAUAAACCGAGUUAGACAUUAUUUGUUGAUAAUACAAAUGUCACGAAGGUGACUGGGUUAAAAAGGAAGCAACUGAUUCGUCGCUCUAAUACUCGGUCAAAGAGUUUUGUGGAAAAGGCCCAGAGAAAAAAUAAGACUUCAUUACCAAAAUUUCCUCUUAGCCAAACAGACUAGCAGUUAGAUAACUUUCCAUCUCUUCAAGUUCCAGAUCCACCAUUAUCAGAUGCAUCCAUGACUAUGGUAUCAAAUGACAUCUAAAUUUUCCUUGUUUAUGGAGUACAACGUAAAAACUAUCCUUUAAAUAAUAGGAAGUGGCAAAAGGAAGUUUUUGUUCAUGGUGCCCUUCACAAUUACCUCAAGGAUCAUCCCACGGAAGUCUGACUCAACUCUUAAGAAAUGUUUCAUUUCAUGAUUUAAACAAGUAUUCUCAACAUUAAUUAUGACAACUUCGGAAAGGCAGAGAUACCCUGGUGAUGGUGACUUCUGCAACCAUCGUCUUCAUCUCAAAACCAUGAUAUGGACCAAAAUGUCGAUCUUUAACACAGCUGUAUCAUUCAAGUUUGGAUGUGGUCGGAUAAUUCAUCAAUAUACAAGAGACAUUUGGAGAAUUGAACCUGUUGAAUUGCCUUAAAGUUAGCCAGUUAAGGGUGAAGCUAAUUUUGUGAGGUUCUCACAUACUGUUAUCAACAAAUCUUGCCAAUUCUUGUUACUCAAAUGUAAUUCCGGUUUAAGAGAAGAUUUGAAUAUUGUUGUCAAUAUAAUACAACUGAUUCCAUGUGAAAGUAAUGCAUCUUGCUUUUAACUGUUCCGGUUUUACCAUUUCCAGUUUGGGCAAGUUUAACAUUGCACUUCCUUGUGAAAAAGAAUGUCAACUGCUUAAAAUAUGUGGAAGGGUCUAAUGGUGGACAUAAAGGUCAAAAUAUCUACUCCAUAAAAAACGUUGAAAA